GACGAACGCUGGCGGCGUGCUUAACACAUGCAAGUCGAACGGAAAGGCCCUGCUUAUGUGGGGUGCUCGAGUGGCGAACGGGUGAGUAACACGUGAGUAACCUGCCCUUGACUUUGGGAUAACUUCAGGAAACUGGGGCUAAUACCGGAUAGGAGCUCCUGCUGCAUGGUGGGGGUUGGAAAGUUUCGGCGGUUGGGGAUGGACUCGCGGCUUAUCAGCUUGUUGGUGGGGUAGUGGCUUACCAAGGCUUUGACGGGUAGCCGGCCUGAGAGGGUGACCGGCCACAUUGGGACUGGGAUACGGCCCAGACUCCUACGGGAGGCAGCAGUGGGGUAUAUUGCACAAUGGGCGGAAGCCUGAUGCAGCAACGCCGCGUGCGGGAUAACGGCCUUCGGGUUGUAAACCGCUUUCGCCUGUGACGAAGCGUGAGUGACGGUAAUGGGUAAAGAAGCACCGGCUAACUACGUG
This 468-nucleotide ribosomal RNA is filed under the name uncultured bacterium. Its description in RNAcentral is "partial 16S ribosomal RNA". It matches the Rfam family "Bacterial small subunit ribosomal RNA", at positions 28 to 507 of the family's 1533-position model. The record is from RNAcentral.